UACGUAGGGCGCAAGCGUUGUCCGGAAUUAUUGGGCGUAAAGAGCUCGUAGGCGGCUUGUCACGUCGGGUGUGAAAGCCCGGGGCUUAACCCCGGGUCUGCAUUCGAUACGGGCAGGCUAGAGUGUGGUAGGGGAGAUCGGAAUUCCUGGUGUAGCGGUGAAAUGCGUAGAUAUCGGAAGGAACACCAGUGGCGAAAGCGGCUUCCUGGUCCAGCAUCGACGUUCAGGCACGAAAGCGUGGGGAGAAAACAGG
RNAcentral lists this ribosomal RNA (253 nucleotides) under uncultured bacterium. Its description in RNAcentral is "partial 16S ribosomal RNA". It matches the Rfam family "Bacterial small subunit ribosomal RNA", at positions 524 to 776 of the family's 1533-position model. The record is from RNAcentral.